AGAGUUUGAUCAUGGCUCAGAAUCAACGCUGGCGGCGUGCCUAACACAUGCAAGUCGCACGAGAAAGGGGAGCAAUCCCUGAGUACAGUGGCGCACGGGUGAGUAACACGUGACUAACCUACCUUCGAGUGGGGAAUAACCUGGGGAAACCCGGGCUAAUACCGCAUAACACUUACGAGUCAAAGCAGCAAUGUGCUUGAAGAGGGGGUCGCGGCCGAUUAGCUAGUUGGCGGGGUAAUGGCCCACCAAGGCUUUGAUCGGUAUCCGGCCUGAGGGGGCGCACGGACACACUGGAACUGAAACACGGUCCAGACUCCUACGGGAGGCAGCAGUGGGGAAUUUUGCGCAAUGGGGGAAACCCUGACGCAGCAACGCCGCGUGGAGGAUGAAGUCUCUUGGGACGUAAACUCCUUUCGAUCGGGACGAUAAUGACGGUACCGGAAGAAGAAGCCCCGGCUAACUUCGUGCCAGCAGCCGCGGUAAUACGAGGGGGGCAAGCGUUGUUCGGAAUUAUUGGGCGUAAAGGGCGCGUAGGCGGCUUGGUAAGUCUUGUGUGAAAUCUUCGGGCUCAACUCGAAGUCUGCAUAGGAAACUGCCGAGCUUGAGUAUGGGAGAGGUGAGUGGAAUUUCCGGUGUAGCGGUGAAAUGCGUAGAUAUCGGAAGGAACACCUGUGGCGAAAGCGGCUCACUAGACCAUAACUGACGCUGAGGCGCGAAAGCUAGGGGAGCAAACAGGAUUAGAUACCCUGGUAGUCCUAGCCCUAAACGAUGAUCGCUUGGUGUGGCGGGUAUCCAAUCCCGUCGUGCCGAAGCUAACGCGUUAAGCGAUCCGCCUGGGGAGUACGGUCGCAAGACUGAAACUCAAAGGAAUUGACGUGGGGCCCGCACAAGCGGUG
This 896-nucleotide ribosomal RNA is filed under the name uncultured bacterium. Its description in RNAcentral is "bacterial SSU rRNA". It matches the Rfam family "Bacterial small subunit ribosomal RNA", at positions 8 to 934 of the family's 1533-position model. The record is from RNAcentral.